This is a long non-coding RNA of Pieris brassicae (large cabbage white), 673 nucleotides long. RefSeq lists it as uncharacterized. The transcript is spliced from 2 exons. NCBI's taxonomy places the organism in Eukaryota, Metazoa, Arthropoda, Insecta, Lepidoptera, Pieridae. The record is from RefSeq and is a predicted model, not a curated record.
UUAAUUUUUAUAGAAACAUCUGUCGAAACUACGACAGUUACAUUUCAAAACAAACAUAGAAACCUCAAACAAAAUUAUCGUUCUUUCAUUCGGUCUUGCGAUGCAAAUACGUUUCAGCUUAUAGGAGGACAUAGUACGAAAAAAGCUAUUGACAUUAGGUACCUAAACUCAACUGGAUUGUUUUAAGAAAGUUCAUGGUAGGCCCUCUGAGCACCAGUGUUGGGCAGCCCUUCGUAGCAUCAAGACGUUUCUGUGCAUUUCACUAUGUCAGAUUCUUCUAGUGAAGAUGAAUAUAUUAAUAUGGUAAAUAAAAGCUUACUUACUGUAUCACUAUAGAAAGGAACAAAUCAAGAUUUUGGAUCAAUUAUCACAGUCGAUCAAGGAAAAGGAACGAAUGUACAGCGAUUUGCAAGACAACUCCGUUCAAAACUAGUUUUCCAGAGCAUCCGCAGCAGACUCUGCUCUACAUUACUCAUUUGCAGUGGAACUCGCUCACUCCGCUCCACUCGUCUCCGCUUUGAUGGAAGCACAUGUAUGAAAAUUAUCGUUACGAGUAUAAUAGAUUCCGUAAUGGGUCCGUUCCGCUAGCAGUGGAAAGCGGUCAUAAAACCGUUAAGGAGCCGUAACUAUUGUAAAUUCUAAACUAUUGAUUUAUUACACUACAUUAGCGAAU